UACGGAGGGGGCUAGCGCUGUUCGGAAUUACUGGGCGUAAAGGGUGCGUAGGCGGCUAUCCAAGUCAGACGUGAAAGGCCUGGGCUCAACCCGGGAACUGCGUUUGAGACUGGGUGGCUGGAGUCCGGGAGAGGUGAGCGGAAUUCCCGGUGUAGAGGUGAAAUUCGUAGAUAUUGGGAAGAACACCGGUGGCGAAGGCGGCUCACUGGACCGGUACUGACGCUGAGGCACGAAAGCGUGGGGAGCAAACAGG
This 253-nucleotide ribosomal RNA is filed under the name uncultured bacterium. RNAcentral's name for it is "partial 16S ribosomal RNA". It matches the Rfam family "Bacterial small subunit ribosomal RNA", at positions 524 to 776 of the family's 1533-position model. The record is from RNAcentral.